RNAcentral lists this ribosomal RNA (394 nucleotides) under uncultured bacterium. RNAcentral describes it as "partial 16S ribosomal RNA". It matches the Rfam family "Bacterial small subunit ribosomal RNA", at positions 523 to 916 of the family's 1533-position model. The record is from RNAcentral.
AUACGUAGGGAGCGAGCGUUGUCCGGAAUUACAGGGUGUAAAGGGAGCGUAGGCGGGAUGGCAAGUCAGAUGUGAAAACUAUGGGCUCAACCCAUAGACUGCAUUUGAAACUGUUGUUCUUGAGUGAAGUAGAGGUAAGCGGAAUUCCUGGUGUAGGGGUGAAAUGCGUAGAUAUCAGGAGGAACAUCGGUGGCGAAGGCGGCUUACUGGGCUUUUACUGACGCUGAGGCUCGAAAGCGUGGGGAGCAAACAGGAUUAGAUACCCUGGUAGUCCACGCUGUAAACGAUGAUUACUAGGUGUGGGGGGACUGACCCCUUCCGUGCCGCAGUUAACACAAUAAGUAAUCCACCUGGGGAGUACGGCCGCAAGGUUGAAACUCAAAUGAAUUGACGG